This 450-nucleotide ribosomal RNA is filed under the name uncultured bacterium. RNAcentral's name for it is "SSU rRNA". It matches the Rfam family "Bacterial small subunit ribosomal RNA", at positions 26 to 518 of the family's 1533-position model. The record is from RNAcentral.
AGGAUGAACGCUGGCGGUCUGCUUAACACAUGCAAGUCGAACGGGCGUAGCAAUACGUUAGUGGCGGACGGGUGAGUAACGCGUGAGAAUCUACCUUCAGGACGGAGACAACAGUUGGAAACGACUGCUAACCCCCGAUGUACUGAAAAGGCAAAUAUUUAUAGCCUGAAGAAGAGCUCGCGUCCGAUUAGCUAGUUGGAGAGGUAAAAGCUCACCAAGGCGACGAUCGGUAGCUGGUCUGAGAGGACGAUCAGCCACACUGGGACUGAGACACGGCCCAGACUCCUACGGGAGGCAGCAGUGGGGAAUUUUCCGCAAUGGGCGAAAGCCUGACGGAGCAAGACCGCGUGGGGGAAGAAGGCUCUUGGGUUGUAAACCCCUUUUCUCUGGGAAGAACGCAAUGACGGUACCAGAGGAAUCAGCAUCGGCUAACUCCGUGCCAGCAGCCGC